CCUUCGUCCAGCCACGAGUUUCCGUACCUAAUUUUAAUUGUCCUUCUUAUUUAAAAUUUUUUUUAAUUAGCAUUUUUGUUGUUAUAAGAUGAUAAAACAUGAAUAGUACUUUACUCGUGACUUAUGUUUUUAAUUUUUUUCAAAAAAUUUUCAAAUAAGACGAACGGUUAAAGUUAGGCGCGGAAAACCAUGGUUGCACUUGUU
Oryza sativa Indica Group (long-grained rice) is the source of this 204-nucleotide microRNA precursor. It matches the Rfam family "MIR812 microRNA precursor family". The record is from Rfam. NCBI's taxonomy places the organism in Eukaryota, Viridiplantae, Streptophyta, Magnoliopsida, Poales, Poaceae.